UNUGAAGUUAAAGGCUGUGGCUUAAUCAUAGUACGCUUUGGAAACUGUUUAACUUGAGUGCAGAAGGGGAGAGUGGAAUUCAAUGUGUAGCGGUGAAAUGCGUAGAUAUAUGGAGGAACACCGGUGGCGAAAGCGGCUCUCUGGUCUGUAACUGACGCUGAGGCUNGAAAGCGUGGGGAGCGAACAGGAUUAGAUACCCUGGUAGUNCACGCCGUAAACGAUGAGUGCUAGGUGUUAGGCCCUUUCCGGGGCUUAGUGCCGCAGCUAACGCAUUAAGCACUCCGCCUGGGGAGUACGACCGCAAGGUUGAAACUCAAAGGAAUUGACGGGGGCCCGCACAAGCGGUGGAGCAUGUGGUUUAAUUCGAAGCAACGCGAAGAACCUUACCAGGUCUUGACAUCCCGAUGCCCGCUCUAGAGAUAGAGUUUUACUUCGGUACAUCGGUGACAGGUGGUGCAUGGUUGUCGUCAGCUCGUGUCGUGAGAUGUUGGGUUAAGCCCCGCAACGAGCGCAACCCUUAUUGUUAGUUGCCAUCAUUCAGUUGGGCACUCUAGCGAGACUGCCGGUAAUAAACCGGAGGAAGGUGGGGAUGACGUCAAAUCAUCAUGCCCCUUAUGACCUGGGCUACACACGUGCUACAAUGGCUGGUACAACGAGUCGCAAGUCGGUGACGGCAAGCUAAUCUCUUAAAGCCAGUCUCAGUUCGGGUUGUAGGCUGCAACUCGCCUACAUGAAGUCGGAAUCGCUAGUAAUCGCGGAUCAGCACGCCGCGGUGAAUACGUUCCCGGGCCUUGUACACACCGCCCGUCACACCACGAGAGUUUGUAACACCCGAAGUCGGUGAGGUANCCUUUUAGGAGCCA
RNAcentral lists this ribosomal RNA (863 nucleotides) under uncultured bacterium. RNAcentral's name for it is "bacterial SSU rRNA". It matches the Rfam family "Bacterial small subunit ribosomal RNA", at positions 588 to 1451 of the family's 1533-position model. The record is from RNAcentral.